Molecule: ribosomal RNA, 253 nt
Filed under: uncultured bacterium
Lineage: Bacteria
Description: partial 16S ribosomal RNA
Rfam family: Bacterial small subunit ribosomal RNA
Source: RNAcentral
UACGUAGGGGGCAAGCGUUGUCCGGAUUUAUUGGGCGUAAAGAGCGUGUAGGCGGUUAGGUAGGUCCGUUGUGAAAACUCGAGGCUCAACCUCGAGACGCCGAUGGAAACCAUCUGACUAGAGUCCGGAAGAGGAGAGUGGAAUUCCUGGUGUAGCGGUGAAAUGCGCAGAUAUCAGGAGGAACACCGGUGGCGAAGGCGGGUCUCUGGGCCGAUAUCGACGCUGAGGAGCGAAAGCAUGGGGAGCGAACAGG